GUCUUUUUGAUUUUAAUUUAAAGUCUAGCCUGCCCAAUGAGAAUUUUAAUGGCCGCAGUAUUUUGACUGUGCAAAGGUAGCAUAAUCAUUAGUUUCUUAAUUAGAGACUGGAAUGAAGGGUUGGACGAGAAAAUAGCUGUCUCUUUAUUAAUGUUAGAAUUUUAUUUUUAAGUUAAAAAGCUUAAAUAAAUUUAAAAGACGAGAAGACCCUAUAGAGUUUUAUAAAAUUUUUAGUAAUAAUUUAGGUGGUGAGUAUUUCAUUGUAUUAGAAAUUUUAUUAAAUUGGGGUGAUUGAAAAAUUUAGUAAACUUUUUUUUAAAAAAAACAUUAAUUUAUGAUUUAUUGAUCCAUAAAAAUGAUUAUAAGAUUAAAUUACCUUAGGGAUAACAGCGUAAUUUCUUUUUAGAGUUCUAAUCGAUAAAGAAGUUUGCGACCUCGAUGUUGGAUUAAAAUUAAUAUUUGGUGUAGAAGCUAAAAUAUUAAGUCUGUUCGACUUUUAAAAUUUUACAUGAUCUGAGUUUAAACCGGUGUGAGCCAGGUUGGUUUCUAUCUUUAAAAAGUUUUUAUAUUUUAGUACGAAAGGACCAAAUAUAAAUAAUAUUUAUUAAUAAUUUGGAUUUUACUAAUUAUCAU
This 633-nucleotide ribosomal RNA is filed under the name Actocharina sp. HE-2012. Its description in RNAcentral is "partial 16S ribosomal RNA". It matches the Rfam family "Bacterial large subunit ribosomal RNA", at positions 1819 to 2739 of the family's 2925-position model. The record is from RNAcentral. Lineage: Eukaryota; Metazoa; Arthropoda; Insecta; Coleoptera; Staphylinidae.